CCUACGGGUGGCAGCAGUGGGGAAUAUUGCGCAAUGGGCGAAAGCCUGACGCAGCGACGCCGCGUGAGGGAUGAAGGUCUUCGGAUCGUAAACCUCUGUCAGCAGGGAAGAACGGUCACUGUGCUAAUCAGCAGUGCAUUGACUGUACCUGCAAAGGAAGCACCGGCUAACUCCGUGCCAGCAGCCGCGGUAAUACGGAGGGUGCGAGCGUUAAUCGGAAUUACUGGGCGUAAAGCGCUCGUAGGCGGUAUGUCAAGUCAAGGGUGAAAGCCCCGCGCUCAACGUGGGAACUGACUUUGAAACUGGGAAACUGGAGUGUGUGAGAGGAGGGUGGAAUUCCAGGUGGAGGAGUGAAAUCCGUAGAUAUCUGGAGGAACAUCAGGGGCGAAGGCGACCAGCUGGAACAUAACUGACGCUGAGGAGCGAAAGCGUGGGUAGCAAACAGGAUUAGAUACCCCAGUAGUC
RNAcentral lists this ribosomal RNA (465 nucleotides) under uncultured bacterium. RNAcentral describes it as "partial 16S ribosomal RNA". It matches the Rfam family "Bacterial small subunit ribosomal RNA", at positions 338 to 795 of the family's 1533-position model. The record is from RNAcentral.